RNAcentral lists this ribosomal RNA (498 nucleotides) under uncultured bacterium. RNAcentral describes it as "bacterial SSU rRNA". It matches the Rfam family "Bacterial small subunit ribosomal RNA", at positions 8 to 507 of the family's 1533-position model. The record is from RNAcentral.
AGAGUUUGAUCAUGGCUCAGGAUGAACGCUAGCGGAGGCCUAACACAUGCAAGCCGAGCGGUAUUGUUUCUUCGGAAAUGAGAGAGCGGCGUACGGGUGACGGAACACGUGUGUAACCUGCCUUUAUCUGGGGAUAGCCUUUCGAAAGGAAGAUUAAUACUCCAUAAUAUAUUGAACGGCAUCGUUUAAUAUUGAAAGCUCCGGCGGAUAGAGAUGGGCACGCGCAAGAUUAGCUAGUUGGUGAGGUAACGGCUCACCAAGGCGAUGAUCUUUAGGGGCCUGAGAGGGUGAUCCCCCACACUGGUACUGAGACACGGACCAGACUCCUACGGGAGGCAGCAGUGAGGAAUAUUGGUCAAUGGGUGCAAGCCUGAACCAGCCAUCCCGCGUGAAGGACGACUGCCCCUAUGGGUUGUAAACUUCUUUUGUAUAGGGAUAAACCUACCCUCGUGAGGGUAGCUGAAGGUACUAUACGAAUAAGCACCGGCUAACUCCGUG